RNAcentral lists this transfer RNA (63 nucleotides) under Nipponnemertes punctatula. RNAcentral's name for it is "tRNA-Tyr". The record is from RNAcentral. Lineage: Eukaryota; Metazoa; Nemertea; Enopla; Monostilifera; Cratenemertidae.
CAUAAAAUGGCCGAGGUAGAGGCGAAAGAUUGUAGCUCUUUUAACGGAUUUGUCCUUUUGUGA